UUUUAAGUAACCUUUCCCUGUGGAUUCGAUUCUGUAAGAUACUACAACGCCUGUAUACUUGCAGCAAAGAUAUCAUUCAAGUGUGAAUGCACACAUGCAGACCAGCCUCAUUCGGACAGCACACAGCCAGACAGCAGCCACUCACUCGGACAUCACUCAUUCGAACUCACACAUGCAAUAAACAUGCAGACCAGCUCACACAUGUAGGACAGCAGCCACUCACACAUGCAAUACACAUGCAGCAAGGAAACUCACACGUGCAGCAGCAGCAGAUUCCUUCUCUCUUUUUCGAGUAGCUGGACGUGCAGCAGGAGAUCAAUAGCAUCACAUGGACAGCAGCUCGCACAUGCAAUAAACCUGCAGCAAGAAACUCACACGGACGGAAAGUAGCUGGAGCAGCAAGAGAUCACAUGGAAGCACGUUGAAGACAGCAGCUGGAGCAACAAGAGAUCACAUGGGAUCAUGGAAGACAAAUGGACGGAAAGCAGCAACAGCAGAGUUUAUUCCUUCUUUUUCGUUCGAGUAGCUGGCAAGAGGAGGAGCUUUUACUUCAUUUAUUUUCUUUCCUUCUCAUUGGAGACAGGGGGACAGUGCAGAUAGUAGGCGGCUGGGAUUUAUUUUCUGGUACUCAUUCCUUUUCACGUUGCAGACGGAACUUGAUUGUUCUAGGGGAGAGUUUUUUUUUUCUGCUUUUAAUUUUUUUUACGUUUCUUGCUGUUGUUUUCCAUACCUGAACUAGGUGGUUUGAAUUUAUUUUCCUUUUAGUUGGUGGUUUAGACGCAAGACAGACUUUCUUUCAUUUUUUCUGCUUACUGUUUUUUUCAUUCGACGUUUGUAGAACAAGACUUCAUUCUUGCUUUUAUGGACAGUUGUUUCUCUGUUUUGUAUUAUGAAUGUUAGGGACGGAAGCUUUUGGUUUUCCUUUCACCUUA
Long non-coding RNA from Carya illinoinensis, 932 nucleotides. RefSeq lists it as uncharacterized. The transcript has 2 exons. The record is from RefSeq and is a predicted model, not a curated record. NCBI's taxonomy places the organism in Eukaryota, Viridiplantae, Streptophyta, Magnoliopsida, Fagales, Juglandaceae.